RNAcentral lists this long non-coding RNA (19372 nucleotides) under Glycine max (soybean). RNAcentral's name for it is "long non-coding RNA (GMAX_LNC003893)". Lineage: Eukaryota; Viridiplantae; Streptophyta; Magnoliopsida; Fabales; Fabaceae. The record is from RNAcentral.
ACAAGUAUUUUGAACGUAUGGAAGCACUCUCAAGUAAUACUAAACUAACUAAAUCAACCAUUAAAGCAAAUACACAUGCCUAUAUAUAGUAAAGUUGCAGUUUCUAUCUACUAAUUGAUUUAAAAAUCAUUGUACAUUAAGAAUUGAAUGUAUGAUAAAUUUAUCGGUUGAAUAGUCAUAUAUUGUCAAUCAAUCAUAAAUUCUGUUGUUAUUAGUAGAACUUUUAAGGUAGUUAUUAUAAAAAUUAACAAAUCUAUCAUAUAUGAUGAUUUGUAACUCAAUGAUAAUGUACAAUUAUUUUACAUUGUCAAUGCAUAACCUAUGUUUUCUACAUGCGUGUGGGAGCACGUGCAUGUAUAUAUACCUGCCACAUCUCAACAGCCGUGAUGUCGCGUACUCCAUUUACGUUGAGAAGCAGGACAGCUAAGUAGCCAGGGUUUUUGCUGCUCUUGUGGACACGGAGCUUAAUGUUAGAAGGGUAGUUACAGGGAACCCUUGUGAAUGCAAUAUCCACCACCCCGCGUUUGAACAGCUCCUUAGAAGCAGCUACGUUGCGUGCCAAUCCUGAGAAUCCACGUUUGCUCAUUAUGAAGUCUGUUCCGUCUCCCGCACCAGAGUCUGUGGCCACCACCUGCACUCCUUUCCCGCAGUAUUGUGGAAUUUUGCACCUUACCUAACUCACCAUUUAUAUUAACAACAUUUAGUAGAAGGAUAAAGAUGCAUAAACACCCUCGUAUACUGUUUGACACUUUAUGAGAGAAAAAGAGACGAGUGCAAGUAUGAUUUGACGUGAAAAGAAAAAUAUAGAGAAAAACAAAGGUUUCAAAUCUAGGUUCAUAAUAUAUAUAAUGCCCAUAUCAUUAAUUAGUCUUAGUAGAAAUACCUCGCAUUCCAUGUAAAUAUUUUGUUGUAGUUAAUGAUGAUGAUGAAGCCUUGUUUUACUGAGGAUUGUUAGAAAUAAUAAAAUAUUGAUUAAUGAAAAGAAAGGAAAGGGAAGUACCCAAUAACAUGUGCCACAGCCAGCACCAUUCCUCCAUAGCCCAGAUACAGCAGCCACACUUCCAUUAUUAAUCGUUCUUCCAUAUUCUUCAAAGCCACAAGCUCCCCCUAAAAUAUUACACCAAUUGGUCCAUCACAUUAAUUAUGUUUCUAAAGAGAUGAGUAGUAUGAUGCCACACAGCCAAAAUGUACAUUAAUUUUAUUUCUAAAGAGGGCGUGUUACAGAAGAAGCAUGCAUAUGCAUCUUCAGAAGUAAGUAAUUAAUUCCUCAAAUGUUUUAAUUUGAUAGAAAGAAAACAGUAUCUACUAUCUAGUUUCAAAGUACAAAGGGUUAGUGGUGAAACAUGUAAAUGAGCUUCUUGCCCCCUCCCAAAACAUGACACAAACACAACCUAGUUCCUAGUCUGCAUACAAAUAUGAUACAAACUAUUUUAUUUAUACAAAACAAGCUCAUAAAAAUGAGUACAUAGCUAACUAGCUAUAGUUGGCUUACUUGGAUUCCCAAGGCCAUCAGGGGUAUUAUAAUAGCUUGCUCUGGAGUUCGUAAAGUAUUCGUUGCAGCUACAUAGUGCAGGGAAGAGCAAUAUUACACAAACAAGCCCAAGUUGGUGGUUAAGACUUAGUUCCAUGCCUAAAUGACAAGACAAAUUCUCAGGCACAAAGGAGAAAAAUGCAGCAAGUAAUUAAGAAUGACCAAUAGUGUGUGACAAGCUAAUGUAUAUAUGAAAAUGAGAGAAUGCUUUGAGAUGAGAUAGGAAGCAAAGAUAUAACGGAGUCCUAUUUAUAGUGUACCUUUAGCUUCAGUUCUUUUACACAUACCAGUGUUGCAUGGUAUUGUCAAUUGUCCGGUUUCCCUUGUUUUUUAGUCAGCUUUUUUAUGAGUUGAAUAUAAAGGGUUCUGUGAACUGUUCACUGGUUUUGAAUAGAAAAAUCUACGGAUGAAAAUUAAACUCUUGGAUAAGCACAGAAGAUCAGAACAACACUAUUAUGCGUUGGAUGCGUAAUUGAGAAAUUUGGGCAUAUUUUAUGUUUUAAUCCAACUUUAACUGAAAAUAAUAUAUUCUUUUUUCUUCAUCUAUUUUCUAACUUCUAUUUUUUGCCCCUCUAAGUGGUAGUUUUGCGUUUAUAUAUUUUUUGAACAAUGGCUUUUAAACUAUGGAUUGUCAGAGGUUUGCUUAUUAAUCGGGUCAAAACCAAAGGCUACGAGGUAACGAGGAAACAACAAAUUGAAGGAAUCUUAUAAACACCUUGUAUGUUAAGGCCAGACCAUAUUAUUUUAUCAUUUAAAUGAGAGAAGAUUUACAACAAUGCUAUAAAAUUUGUCUCAAACGGAUCAAAAAUGCUAUGGAGUUAGUGUGAUCUAAUGAGACAUUGUUAGUUUUGCGACUAAUUUGUAAUAAUAACUAUGAAAUGUUCCAUGAGUUUUUGAAUUGAGAAGUCAAAUAUUACUAAUGGGUGGUAAUGAUCACUAAAUGUAUUUUUAAUGGUAGAAUAUACGGUCUUUGUAGUAGCUAAGUUUCAAACGCAUGACUAACAAGAUGUUAUAAAUGCACAAGUCAUUGAAUCAUUAAAGGUUUUUUUAUAUGUAUUUGUUUUUUAUAUCUUAUAUCCUUAUUUUGUUUACCUUUGUCAUUUUUGAAAUUUUUAUUUUUUUUAUGCAUAAAUAUAUUUUAGAAAAAUUUAAUUCUAUGUAUAUAUAUAUAUAUAUAUAUAUAUAUAUAUAUAUAUAUAUAUAUAUAUAUAUAAAUUAUAUAUGAGAAUUUUAUUCAUCAUAUCUUGAUCUUGAAAUGCAUAAUAUGAUUUAUUCUCAUAUAAUUAAGUUUUACGUCUAAGUGAUACUUAUAAUUUUGAUUAAUUAUGGAUUAGCCACAACAUCUAUAUUUUAAUUAAAAUUAUAUAUUAAAUUGUUUAAAGAUGAUAUAAGGAAUUAGACAUAAUAUUGUGAUCAAUUAUACUUUAUAUAAUGAAUUUUAUUCCACAGGAAUUUUUAUUAUAUUUGUAUAAUUAAUUGGAAUAAAAUGAUAUAUUAUUGUUCAUGGUUUACCCACAGGGAUCAUGAGGUAUGCAUAAUUUGUGAAUUUUAUCAUAAAGUAAAUAUUUGUGAUAAAAAUUAAAUUAUUUUUAUGUUGUACCCGUAAAGCAUGAAUUUGAGUAUGUAAUUUGAUUAUUCUAUCAUAAGGUUUAAUGGUUUUGUAUUGAAUUAAAAAUUUAGCCCACAGGCAAUUUUUAUGUCACAAGAUUCAAUUUUCUAGUAUGUUUACACCGCCUUUGAAUUUUGUAGCUUCUCAAACUAUUAGUUUUUCCUGAUAUUCAAGAUGAUGUUCCCGAACUCAAAGGAGAUAACUAUAAGAUAUGGAAGGAGAGAAUUCUUCUGCAAUUGGGGUGGAUGGACAUAGACUAUGCUAUAAGGAAAGACGAACUACCUAUAAUCACUGAUGAAAGUAGUUCAGCUGAUGUUGCAUUAUAUGAGCGGUGGGACUACCCAACCGACUCCGCAUGAUGUUCCUUAAGAUCAAAAUCUCGGUCGGAAUACGUGGUUUUGUUGACCACCAUGAAAAGGUCUGAGACUUGCUUAAGGCCAUUGAUGACCAGUUCAUCACUUCAGAUAAAGCUUUAGCAAACACCCUGAUCAUGAAUUUCUCCUCUCUUCGGCUCACCAGUGUGAAAGGUGUGCGUGAGUACAUAAUUAAAAUGCGAGAUAUUUCAUCUCAACUUAAGAAAUAGGAGGUUGAUAUGUCUGAGUCUUUCUUGGUGCACUUCAUUUUGAACACUCUUCUGCAGGAAUAUGGGCCGUUUAAGAUUUCCUACAGCGCACAUAAGGACAAAUGGCUUAUCAAUGAAUUAAUGACCAUGUGUGUUCAGGAAGAAGAAAGGCUUGUAAUGGAGAUGAUAUGUCUGAGUCUUUCUUGGUGCACUUCAUUUUGAACACUCUUCUGCAGGAAUAUGGGCCGUUUAAGAUUUCCUACAGCGCACAUAAGGACAAAUGGCUUAUCAAUGAAUUAAUGACCAUGUGUGUUCAGGAAGAAGAAAGGCUUGUAAUGGAGAUGAGUGAGAGUCCAUUGCUGACAAUUGCUUGUUGGAAGAACAAAGCAACUAAGUCUUAAGCUAAUCAGAAGGAGAUUGGUAAAAUACCACCUCAAGCUGAAAUUAUGAAGGUGGCAAAGUGUUUCUUUUGCAAGAAGAAAGGACACAUGAAGAAGAAUUUUCCCGGAUUCCAAAAAUGACUUGAGAAGAAAAGUAAAUCAAUCCCAUUAGUAUGUUAUGGAUCUAAUAAGGUUAGUGUUAAUAGUAACAUUUGGUGGAUUAAUUCUGGACAUACUAUCCAUAUUGAAAAUUCUUUACACGGUAUGCAAAACCUAAGGAAACCAGUGGGAAGUGAGCAAAACAUUUUAUCAGGCAAUAAGUUAGGCUCACCUGUGGAGUCUAUUGGAACUUGCAUUUUAACAUUAAGUAGUAGCUUUAUUUUGAAAUUAGAAAGGACCUUUUAUGUAUCAAGUUUUUCUCGAAACUUAAUUUAUGUUUAUAGACUCGUACAUUUUUGGAUAUUCCUUUAAUUUUAAAGACACAUCGUUUGAGUUAUUUUAUAAUUCUGAAUGUGUUGGGAACGACAUCUUAUCUGAUGGUCUUUAUCUUCUUGGUUUAAAAAAUUAUGCCACUUAUAGUUCAAUGCAUGUUCAAACUGUUAUUAAAAGGUGUAAUAUUAAUGAGAAUUCCUCUAUGUUAUGACACCGGAGAUUAGGACAUAUCUCCAUUGAGAGGAUUAAAAGUUUAGUGAAAAAUGGGGUACUCAAUACUCUAGAUUUUUCUGACUUUAAGACUUGUGUGGACGACAUUAAAGGUAAGCAAACCAACAUGUCUACGAAAGGUGCUAACAUGAGUUCAAGUAUAUUAGAAAUAAUUCAUACUGAUAUUUGUUGUCCAGAUAUGGAUGCACGUGGUCAGAAAUAUUUUAUCACCUAUAUAGAUGAUUAUUCAUGAUAUAUGAAUGUUUAUUUGCUUCAUAACAAAAAUGAAGCAUUAGAUGCCUUCAAAGUCUUCAAGGAUGAAAUUGAGAAUCAAUGUGACAAGAAAAUAAAAAUAGUGAGAUUAGAUAGAGGUGGAGAAUAUUAUGGCAAAUAUAUUGAGAAUGGACAAGCACCUGAUCUUUUUGCAAAGUUUCUUAAAGAAAUGAGAUUGUUGCCCAGUACAUUAUGCCUGGUUCUCCAAAUUAGAAUGGUGUUGCGGAAAGAAGGAACCAAAUAUUAUUGGACAUGGUACGAAGUAUGCUUAGCAACUCUAAUCUUUCUAAAUCCUUGUGGGCUUAAGCACUAAAGACGAAAACGUAUACAUUAAACUAUGUUUCAACCAAGGCUGUCCCAAAGACACUUUUGAGUUGUUUAAAGGUUGGAAACUGAGUUUGAAACGUAUGCGCGUUUGGGGUUGUCCGUCUGAGGUGAGAAUAUAUAACCCACAAGAGAAGAAACUUGACCUAAAGACUAUUAGUGGAUAUUUCAUUGGAUAUGCCGAAAGAUCUAAAGAUUAUAUGUUUUACUGUCCAUAUCAUAUUACUAGGAUUGUGGAAUCAAGAAAUGCCAAAUUUCUUGAAAAUGACUUGAUUAGUGGGAGUGAUCAAUUGAGGGACAUAGGUUCUGAAAUUGAUUCUAUAGUGUCUCAACCUUCCACAUCAACUGAAAUAUUUAUUGUAAUUCAUACCCCUCAAGUUCAAAGGGAUGAUGAACAACACAUGAUUGACAUUCUACAACCUAUUGCUGAUAAUCCAGUAUGUUCUAAAACAAGCCUCAUGUCAGUGGUACCUUAAGUUUCAUGAAAUAAUUUCUUCAUUUGGUUUUGAUGAAAAACCCAUGGAUAAUGCAUAUACUACAAGGUCAGUAGGAGCAAAAUAUGUUUUCUUAUUUUAUAUGUAGAUGAUAUUUUACUUGUAGUUAAUGAUCGGGGUUUACUACAUAAGGUGAAACAAUUUCUCUCUAAGAAUUUUGACAUGAAGGAUAUGGGUAAUGCAUCUUAUGUCAUCGGCAUUAAGAUUCAUAGAGAUAGACCUUGAGGUAUUUUAGGUUUAUCAAAGGAAACCUAUAUUAACAAAAUUUUAGAGAGAUUUCAGAUGAAAGAUUGUUUACCAAAUGUUGCUCCCAUUGUGAAGGGUGAUAGGUUUAAUUUGAACCAAUGCCCAAAGAAUGACUUUGAGAGGGAACAAAUGAAAAACAUUUCUUAUGCUUCAGUUGUUCGAAGCCUCAUGUAUGCUCAAGUGUGCACAAGGCCUGACAUUGCUUUUGUAGUUGUAAUGUUAGGAAGAUAUUAUAGUAACCCAUGUAUUGACCACUAGAGAGUUGCUAAGAAAGUGAUGAGGUGCCUUCAGGAGACCAAAGAUUACAUGUUUAUGUAUAGACAGACAGACAAUCUAGAUGUGAUUGGUUAUUCAGACUCAGACUUUGCUGGUUGUGUUGACUCUUGCAAAUCAACAUCUGGGUACAUUUUCAUGAUGGCUGGUGGAGCUAUUUCAUGGAGGAGUGUUAAGCAGACUUUGACUACUACUUCUACCAUGGAAGCUGAGUUUGUCUCUUGUUUUGAGGCUACAUCACAUGGUGUGUGACUCAAGAGUUUCUUUUCUGGACUGAAGAUAGUUGAUACUAUUUCAAAGCCUUUGAGAAUUUUCUGCGAUAACUUAGUUGCUGUCUUUAUGGCUAAGAAUAACAAAAGUGGAAGUCCAAGUAAGCACAUCGACAUUAAAUACUUAGUCAUUAGAGAAAGAGUAAAAGACGAGAAAGUGGUCAUUGAACAUAUAAGCACUCACUGAUCCUUUAACUAAGGGCAUGCCACCGUUUAAAUUUAAGGAUCAUGUAGAAAGAAUGAGACUUGGUUCCACUUUAUAAUUAUAUACGUACAAGUUAAAAUUGAAACUUUUAUAUUGUGAUAUUUUCUCAUAUUCAGGUGCACAUUGAUUUAUUUGAGAAAAAUUAUGUUUUUGACCAAAAUAAACAUUAGGUUUAUUUAUUAAGUUUUAUUACCACUUUGAGUAUACUGCUUGGGAAAUUGAAUAUAUUGUAAUCAUGGAUGAUAUUACUCGUUAUAAGUAACCAUUAAUCAUAUAAUUAUCCAUAUUUCAAUUACCCAUAAACCAAUAAUCAUAUAAUUUAACAUCUAUUAUUUUAUGAGUAAUUGAAAUAAUCAUUAAUUUGAAAUUAAAUAACCUUAUAAAUUUGGUUACUUUGGUAACUAACAAAUUCAUCAUACAUUUAAUUCCAACCAAAUAUAUGGUCUGCACAUAUUUAUUGCUAUUAACUAUACAUAGUCAUUUUAUUAAUUUCAUUCCAAGCCAAAUAAAUAUCAUACAUUCACAUUAUAACCAAUAAAAUAAUAGAAAUUCAAUCACAUUGAAACAAAUGUAUAACAUAUACAUAUUUACUGAUAGACAUAAUUUUAAAACAUUCAUGUUAAUUUAAUUGCAGGGCAUAAACUUUCAAUCCUUUAAUCAUAUUUAAUAAUAAUAUUAAGAAAAAAAUGAACAAGUGAGAUUGAGAAUAACAAAAUGUAGAUUGCAAAUAGCAAUUCCAAAGAUUUCCCCUCUUUUUUUCCGGGAAAGGAACAAUGAAGGAAAUAAGAAAGUGCAUGCAGGCGCUUUACUUUUAGUUCCAAGGAAUAGGAACAACGUACAUGACUAGCCACUUUUUUUCUUUCUCCAAUAUUAUACUUUCUAAAAUAAAUCAACAAUUUUUAUUUUUUAUUUAUUUACAAAAUAUCAUAUUUGCAGUGGAAAAAUAAAAUUUUAAAAUUUCAUAAUUAGGGUUUAUAAUAAUUGGAAGAAAAUAAAUUAUUAUUGGAAAAUCAGAAAUUUCAUAACAUAUGUUCUGAUAUCACAUGUAAAAUUUUAAGGGUUCCCUAGAUUAACAAUUAUCCAAAAAAUAGGAUUUUGAAACUUAUGAUUCUCACAAAUAAUAAAUGAACAAUGCAUAUCUUUCUCCAUAGUGAGAUUUUUCUCCUGUGUACUUUGAUUUCUUGAAAAAAUGAUAAAAACAAGAUUUUAGUCCAUUGAAUAUUCUUUCUGUGUCUCUACGUUUUGUGAUGGUGAUGGUUAGACUCUCUCUAGUCUGAAGGGACCUUAUUUCACAUCAGUGGGUAUUAACCCUUACUAUAACAACUACUCCUGUUAGGUAACAGUUACCUUUAGAAACUUCUCAUAUUCAACCCAAUUACAAUUUAGUUCUUAAUUAUUAAUUAUUUAUUUAUUAGUUCAUACAUAAGUCACAUGUCACUUACAUGAGACAUCAAUUUUAACAUCUAUUCUAAAACGAAUCUGAGAGGAAGAAAGAAUGUAAGGACGUAUCGUAAAUAUAAAAACUAACAUAAUAUGUUUUUAUUUACAGUUAUAAUACUCUUAGCUUAUUAUUAACUCUAUUUUUCUUUAUUUUAUUAUUUUAUAAAAGGAAACCUAUUUUACAACUAUUAAAUGUAUAAAUAAAAUAUUUUUUUAUUUUCUAAGAACAUAUAUUUAUUUUAUUUGCCUUAAAAUCAUUAUUUUAAUUAAUAAAAUCAUUUAUUCUUAUUUAUUUAAUUAAAAAAAUCUCAUUAUUUUCCUAAUAUUCUAUGUAUUUUUAAAUAAAAUUAUUUUCAAUUUAUUUUACAAAAAAUAGGAUAUUACAUAUACUGAAUUCUAUAAAAAAAAAGGUUGUAUAUUCAAAAUUUUAAACAAAUUCAUAAUUAUGAAAAAAAACCUCCCUUAAGAGAAGUGAAUGUCAUUUUCCAUAAAAUGUGUAUCAUUUUUAUUUCUUUUAGAGUUUAUGAACUAUUUGAGUCUUGCGAGAUCUUUGUCGUCCAUAAUGAUCAUAUCCAACAACUCGAACAAGAUUAUUUGUCACAGAUAAUACAUGUGAUCUAGACUAAGAAAAAAUUAAGAACUAUUUUUAUUUCCGAUUAAUAGGGGUGUGUAUAUAGAUCGAUCGGGCCAGUUUAAGACUUAGCUCGUGAAGCUUGUGUUUUAAACGAGUCGAACAAAUCUGAUAUGUGAAAUAAAUGAUUUUUUUUUUAAAGAUCGUAUCUUACUCGCCAAAUCCACUAAUAAACAUACUAGUCCUUGGACCCAAAAAUGAUUUAAAAAAAUAUUUUUUGAAAAAUAAAUAAUGCAUAAAAUUAGAAGAUUUUUUUCUUUCAUAUUUUAAGUUAAAAUAUAUCACACUAAAAUAUAUAAACUUUUAUAAUAGUAUUAAAUACUAAAUAUUAAAGUGUUAAUACUAAAAUAUAUCAACGCUCAUGAUAGUCUCAAUAUUAAAAAUAUCAAAAUAUCUUACCAUACUGGUUUACAUCGGUAAUUCGCAAGUUAGUGUAUAAUAAUAAUUUUAAUUUUUCUCGUGUGUUUACAAACCAAACUAGGAGUAGAUCCCUUGCAAAUGCAUGAAUUUUUAAGUGGUGAAAAAGGAAAAUAGUGAGAAAAAAGGUGUGAGAGAGCAAAAAGAAAGUAAAAUUUUAAAAUGUUAUAAAAAAGAUAAAAUUGUGCCAUGUGGUGACAGUUUUUAUAUAGAUAUAAAUAUAGAUGAGGGCAAAUAAUAAAUGAACUUUUUUCCUAUCCGAUCAACCAAGCACACCACCAUCCAAAUAUUGAACCAAAAUCCUAUUUAUUUCCCAAAAUAUUCUUACUUAAACAUAAAAUCCUCAUCAAAUAUUCUUUUGAAAAAUAAAAUCUUGAAAAAAAGAAAAAGAUUUCUUGUGUAAAAGAUAAAAUCUUGAAAAAGGAAAAGUUAUUAUUUCAUUUAAGAAUAAAAUCUCAACCGAUUAAUAAAAGACACCAAGAUCAUUAAUAAUAACAUAAUUGUAACGGUAAUAACUCAAUUCAAAUUGAUCCUAAUCUACUAUGCACAAUAUAUAUAAUUCGCUUCGCCAAAAAGGUGAAUGACUUAAAUUAAGCAAUCGCAUCAUCUUCUCUGUGUUUUACAUCCCUCUUGCACCGUUCAGAGGGAAGAUUUGAUCAAUGGAAAACGAGAAUUGCACUUUUGUUGCUCAGCCUAUUCAAAGAAAGCGCAAACGUUAUGCCAUUCGUGAUUUCCCAGAAGGAUGUGGCUCCUAUGGCAAAAGGGUUGAUCCUAACAAUUUUCGCCAAUUAAAUGACACUAUUUUGGAGUUGGGACUGCAAGAUUUGGAAGAUGAAGAAUUGAUAAGUGCCGCUGAAGUUGUUGUAGCGUGUGACUCCUCCAAUGUGUCAAAGUUUUCUUCUUUUUCAGAAGGGGUUCUUUGUGAUGGUUCAGAAUUCUCAUCAUCUGAUGGCAACAGCAUAGAUGGUUCCGAUGCUGGUUUGAAGGAGAAGGCUGAAACUAAAGAGUCUCCUCGAAGAGAAUUAAUCAGAGACUUUCCUCCUUUAUGUGGACCACAUGCUUAUGCAGAUCAUGUGUGUAGAUUGCAAGGCAUUGAAGAUGAUGAUACUGAUGCAGAAGAAUUGGGUAAUGAUGUUCAAGAUGAAUCCAUGUGCCUGAAACAGGAGGUCAGUUAAGUUGAUUCUGAAGUGAAUGGUUCAAGAAAGUGAAGAAUUGUGUUGUUACAUAUGUCAUAAACUAAACUGCAUGUUCAAUUUUUCCUCUUUUAUCAAUGGUUUUCCUUGACUUUGUUGUUUAUUAGCAAUUCCUUACAUCUUCUUGUACACAUUACUAUUCUAUUAUGAUCUCUAGUUCUUUUGUAUGGUGUUAUCUAGCUUUUAUCCGUCCCUGCUUUCUUUUUCUUUCUUUCUUUCUUUAUUUCUUUCUCAUCUCACACUUUUCAUAAAAUCGAAGAUUAAUUGCAAAAGAAUUAUAAAGACAAAUCAUAAUUGACUAAUUUUCAAGGAUGAAAAAAAUUCUCAACCCUUCCGAUUAAAAAUGUGUCUACCUUUGAGUUUAAAGUAUAUAGAUUUACUCUUUUCUGCUGAAGUUUAAUUUACAUUUAGGAGAUUUAGGCCACAAAGAUUAAAUUGUUAAUCAUUGAAUCACAAAAACUCUAGUACCAUAUCAAGAGUCAAUUCCUUCCAUUUUUAUUUAUUCUUUCUUCUUUUCAUCCAUACACCUCAAAAAUUAGAUGUGCGCUUAUCAUUGCUCGUCAGAAUUUUACAAUUGAACAAAUCAAUGGAUUCCUUUUUUUGCUGGGCAAUCAAUGGAUUGACACUGCUGAAUCAAGGCAUAAUAGUUAGGCUCAGAAUUAUAGUCAUUUGCCGAUUGCCAUGUAUGACACUAUGUUACACGCACUUUCCUCCUGUUUUUUUUGAAACUGAAGCAACAUAUUCUAAGAUUGCAUUACAUGUGAUGUGAAUAAGCCCUCUACCAUGUCAGCAAAUGUCAGAGUUUUUCGUGAAGCAAUAAGAAAGUAAAGCAAUAAAAAUUCACAUAGUCAAUCAUCUUGAAAUAAAAGGGUUCAUCAAGUAAGAAAAAAAGACAUGUUGCCACAGUCAGAUAGAAGUCAUCCCUUUAAGCCUACCCACGAUUCCACGACCUUCUGGAACAAGGGUGGCAAUAAAAUUUAAGUUUAGGAUUUCAUACAAAUUAUCUAAACCUCAUAUUAAUAUCCCUCCAUACAGUCAUACCUAUAGGUGCUAAAUUUAUAUCCCAGUAGCUGAGUGUUAAGAACCAAAAGGAUACCUAGCAUUCGAGGCCUAGGUGCCUCCAGAGAAAAGGUAAGGAAAGAGAGUACUGUAUUAUUGCUUAACCAUUUUUGGAGUACAUUGUUAGUAUUUAUAGAGUUCUUUGUAGCUGUUCUCAUCUAACAAUUCUCUAAUGGUUUGUUGGCAUCUAGCCUUGGAGGAACGAAAAGUUACAAAAUAGCAAAAAGAGGAUCACAAUCCUAACGGAUUACUCUCAGCCAACAAAGGAUCUUUAGGAGCACCACUACCAUCAGGAGCAAUGCUGCCAGGACACUCCCUACUCCACUACUUGCUUACGAAGUCCUUGAGGUAAUAUGGUUUGCAAAUUUCCCUUUUUAGCCUUGGUCCUUCUCCCUUCUCUGUUUCUGUAUUCUCUUGCUGUGCCCUUGCUGUUUGCUGUGUUGUUUCUGCAUUUUUUUGCUCCCUUGCUGCAUUCUCCUGUUGUGUGAGUCUGUUCUCAACAUACCCUUGCGCUUCCAAAAUAACCUUGUCCUCAAGGUUAUAAUCCGCUUUCAAUUGUGCCCAAGGUUCCCAUGAUGUGUCUUCAGGUAGUAGGCCAGCCCAUUGCACGAGGACAAGUAAUUCACUAUCCUUCUCUGACUGAGUCCACUUAGUGUCCAAGAUAGCUAGGGGGGAAAUGAGUGGCUGGUGUUCUUCCGACGAAGCUGGUAGACUAAGAGGGGGACCUCCGGCGGGGUGGUGGAUGGAGUAUAUGGCUUGAGUAGUGAGCAGUGAAAUACUGGAUGUAUGCGUGAUGACUCUGGCAGGUCAAGCUUAUAGGUUACAGGCCCUAUCCUUUGCACAAUGCGGAAAGGCCCAUAGAACCUUUUGGCCAAUUUUGAAUAUUGACUUCCUGUAGCCGUUGACUGGCGCCGAGGUCGUAAUUUGACCAAGACCUGCGCGCCUUCCUCAAAUUGAACAUCCCUUCGUUGUUUGUCCGCACUCUCCUUCUUUUUCUACUGAUCCUUUAAUAACUUUUUUGUCAAACUAGAAAUCAUGGUGUCACGCUCGGUCAACCAAUCAUCCACUGCCGCCACAUUGGAAUCACCGGCCACAUACUGAGGGAUAUUAGGGGGCUUCUUGCCAAAGGUGAUUUCAUAUGGUGACUUGCCGGUAGCGGAGUGGAUGGAUGUGUUGUACGACCACUCCGGCCAUAGGAGGAAACGUCCCCAUGUUGUCGGUUUUUGGUGGACAAAAGCUCGGAGGUGUUGCUCGAUUACGCGAUUCAUCACCUCUAUCUGGCCAUCCAUAUGGGGGUGAUACGCCGUGCUCAUCUUGAGUUUGGUACCGCUUAGCUUGAAUAGUUCUUGCCAAAGGCGACUCACGAACAGGGGAUCUCGGUCGAGGAUGAGGCUGCGUGGCAUGCCAUGGAUUUUGCCAGCAAUCUCCAUAAAUAUCCUGGCCACAGUGGCAGCAGUGUAGUGCGCCGGAAGUAAACCUAUGUACACCCCGAGCUUUUCGUGCUGGCAUGGGAAGUGGACAGAGUAACCCCGAGCUUUUGCGAUGAUUGUUCUUAGUCUGCUGACAUACUAUGCAAGAAGAGAUAAAUAGCUUGACAUCCUGCUUCAUGAAAGGUCAGACAAAAUUUUCGUUAAUGCGCCCCAAAGUUUUUGCAAUGCCCAUGUGGCCGCCGGUGGGGGUGUUGUGAAACUCAGCGAGAAUAGUGGGGAUGACAUGGAGACCCUUGGGAAGCCAUAUGCGACCAUUUUGAAGGAUGAAGUCGUCGCGGAUGGAGCUGUCAGGGUAUUUGGAAGGAUCGGCUUGAAUUUGUUGACGAAAUUCGAGGAAGGCGGAGUUGUGGAGGAGCUCCUGUUUAAGUUCCUGCAAGAAAAGAUAAUUGAUAACCGUUAGAAGAAAGAGUUGGGUAAAGGGGGCUUUUGUCCGCCGGGAAAGGGCGUCUUCCGCCGCAUUGGAUUGGCUAGUGCGAUAGUGGAUGGAGUAAUCAUAGCCCAAUAAGUGUGCCAAAUAACGUUUGUUGUUCCGGUGUCUGAAUGACUUGACCCAUUAGCUCUUUGAGGUUGCGGUGGUCCGUGAGAAUGGUGAAGGGACUGCCCAACAAGUAUUGCCUUCCAUUUUUUAACGGCGGUGGUGAUGGCGGCGAGUUCCCUGACAUACGUGGAUGCAUGAAGAAGCUUAGGGCAAAAAGGUUUACUAAAGAAGGCUAUUGGAUGGUUCUUCUGGGACAGGACUGCUCCCAUGCCGACGUCGGAGGCGUUAGUCUCGACGCAGAGUGGGAUGGAGAAGUCUGGCAAGCUUAGCACAGGUGCAUUACACAGAGCCUACUUCAGGAUGAGGAAAGCUUGUUCAGCGUCAACGUUCCAGUGAAAGGAGUCUUUAGUUAGGAGAGUUGUGAGGGUAGCUACGAGUGAGGAAUAGCCUUUAGUGAACCUUAUCUAAAAUCCCGACAACCCUAGGAAGCCUCGUAGGGCUCGAGUGGAUCAGGGAACGGGCCAAUUCUGGAUUGCCUCAAUCUUAGCCAGCACUGGUUCCACUCCCCGGAAAGACGCUAUGUGACCAAGAUAUUCCACCUGAGAAGUUGCAAAAGAACACUUUGAAAGCUUCAGAAAAAAUUAGUGCAAGCUACGGAUUUCAAACGCUUUGCGAAGGUGCUCCAAGUGUUCUGGGAAUGUUUUGCUAUAAAUUAGAAUAUCAUAAAAAAAGAUGGUAACGAAUUUACACAAAUAAGGACCGAAGGUGCUGUUCAUUGUCGCCUGAAAGGUGGACGGAGCGUUGCAGAGGCCGAACGACAUUACGAGGAACUCGUAAUGGCCGUGGUGCAUCCGGAUGGCCGUCUUGGUGAUAUCAGACUCUGCCAUUAGAAUCUGGUGGUAGCCCUGCAUGAGGUCUAGUUUGGAAAACCAAGUGGUGCCACCUAGUUCGUCCAGAAAUUCGUCAAUUUUGGGUAUUGGGAAUCGGUGCUUAAUCGUUAGGUUGUUCAAAGCCCUGUAAUCAACACAAAACCGCCAAGAGCCGUCCCUUUUCUUAACCAGCAGGACCGACGACGAGAAGGGGCUCGUGCUCGGUCUGAUGAUGCCAGAUUGAAGCAUAUUGGCCACCUGAGUCUCAAUUUCGUGUUUUUGGAAGUAGAGGGUAACAAUAUGGUUUAACAUUGACAGGAGUUGCGUGAGGUUGAAGAUAGAUAGAGUGAUUGGUGGGUCGGGGAGGGGGAAGGGUGGAGGGUUGUUGAAAUAGAGGGGCAAAGUCGUUGAUUAAGGCGAAAAUAGCAGGAUGAGGAGUCGAGGAAGUGGUGAGGGAAGGGGAGGCGUGUAUGUAAAAAAAGGCACUGACAGAGUUCAUCUGGAUUAGUUGUCGGAGUUGUGGUGGGGAGAUGGCUUCUAAGUCUUUGGUGGUAUCUCCUUUAAGUUCAAUGAUAUUGCCACUGUGGACAAAUUUCAUGGUCAAGGUGAGACUGAGGUGCCUGACUAGCCGAGCCUGCACGAAGUUGUGCGUGCUGCUGCCGUCGAUGAGGAUGACGACGGGUUGGUUGGCGAUGCGUCCCAACAGGCGUAGUGUGUCGGAGUGACCCGAAAGUGCACAAAAGUUGAUCUGGGCCUGGGGCGGGUCUUGUUGGUUUGGGUCCUCGAGACACGGGUCAGGGUUUGUUAUAUUAGGGUUCGAAGGCUCCUCAAGCUUGUCGUUUUCCGCGAUGAGUAAAAAGAACCGUGAGGCGCAGUGAUGCCCUCGCGUGUAGCGCUCAUCACAGUUGAAGCGCAGAGGCUGUGCUCCCGGCGGCUUGCGAUCUCGGCGGGGGUCAGGCGUUUCCAUGGUAAGGGUGGUUUGGCCGGCGAAGGUAACAAUGGUGGGGUAGGUGAGGGUAAAGGAGGUGGUGGUGUGGGAGGUAGUGUAGGAAACGAAGAUGGUGUUGGGGGUGUGGGGCCGGGGGUAGUGCGACUGCGGUAGGGACGACGUUGCUCCGCGAGCUUGUCCUCCUGGAGAUGUGCCAACCCGACGGCUUGGACCAGGGUCAGAGGCUGGAGAACUUGGACCUCGCAGCGAAUAUCGGGGUUCAAACCCAAGAAGAAGCAACUCAAGCGGAGAGAUGGCGGAAGACCGACUAUCCGAUUUGCCAGAGCUUUAAACUGAUGCAGGUACUCACUCACCGAACCUGUUUGGGUUACCUUGAAGAGAAUUCCCGUAGGGUCCUCAUAGGGUGAAUGCGCAAAACGGGUCUCGAUGGCCUGCAAAAGUCCUGCCCAAGUGGGGAACCGGUGGUUGCACAUCAUCCACUGGAACCACGCUAAGGCGGGUCCUUCCAUGGUGAAGAAAACAAUGGUUAGACGCUCUAGUUCUGGGGUGGAGUGAUAGGCGAAAAACUGAGUGAUUUUGAACGCCCACCCAGAAGGGUCGGUGCCAUCAAAUUUAGGGACAUCAAGUUUCAUUUUGGGAGUGUUGAUGAGGGUGGUUUUUGGUACAGGGUUAGGCAAGGAAAAAGGUGAGGCUGAGGAGUUAGCAAUGUUUUCGAGAUUGGCCACGCGAAGGAGGAGAUCUUCUAAUUUGUCAGUAACGACAAUUUGGCUUGAAGCAAGAUGGGAGAUUGCUUCCUCAAUUCGUUCCAAUGCAGACUUAGUUAGAGGAGAGUUCGCCAUGGAAGAAGGCAAUGAAAGCACCAGAUUUGUUAAGAACCAAAGGGAUACCUAGCAUUCGAGGCCUAGGUGCCUCCAGAGAAAAGGUAAGGAAAGAGAGUACUGUAUUAUUGCUUAACCAUUUUCGGAGUACAUUGUUAGUAUUUAUAGAGUUCUUUGUAGCUGUUCUCAUCUAACAAUUCUCUAAUGGUUUGUUGGCAUCUAGCCUUGGAGGAACGAAAAGUUACAAAAUAGCAAAAAGAGGAUCACAAUCCUAAGGGAUUAGUACUCUCAGCCGACAAAGGAUCUUCAGGAGCGCCACUACCAUCAAGAGCAAUGCUGCCAGGACACUCCCUGCUUCACUACUUGCUUACGAAGUCCUUGAGGUCAUAUGGUUUGCGAAUUUCCCUUUUUAGCCUUGGUCCUUCUCCCUUCUCUGUUUCUGUAUUCUCUUGCUGUGCCCUUGCUGUUUGCUGUGUUGUUUCUGCAUUUUGUUGCUCCCUUGCUGGAUUCUCCUGUUGUGUGACUCUGUUCUCAACACUGAGACUACUUAAACGUUGAAUUCAAAAAAAUAAAUUAAAAUGAAGAUAUACUUCAUUUAAUCAUGGUGGUUUCGAGCUGAGGAUACCAGUUGCUCCAAUAGCCGGCGCUAAACAACAUGGCAGACAAGGCAGUCACCAUCCGAACCAGAAUGUUUAUGACAACCAGGCUUCUCUCCGGAAAGCAGUUCGUCAUUGAUGUCCUUCAUCCAGGGAGCGCUAAUGAUUCCAAGGCUGAACUGAAGGAGAAGCUAAGGAGAAUGUAUGACGAGAAAGACACCAACCCUGUAUUUGCCUUCAAGUUCCGAACUCAUUUUGGUGGUGGGAAAUCCACUGGGUUUGGUGUUUAAUUUAUAUGAUUCAGUUGAGAAUGCUAAGAAGUGUGAGCCUAAGUACAGGCUUAUCAGGAAAGGAAGAGAAAUCAAGGAAGCAAAUGAAGGAGAGAAAGAAUAGAGCUAAGAAGAUUCGUGGAGUUCAGAAGACCAAGGCUUCUGAUGCUGCCAAGACUGGAAAAAAGAAAUGAGUUUUCAAACAUCCUGUCCUAAUUUUAAGGUUCUUUCGCUCUUAGUAUUUUUAAUAGCUUUCCUAGAAUGAGAUAUUUUUCUGUAAGUGUUGCAUUAACUGAUGUCCAGUUAUAGAUUGAGUAGUGGCAUGAUCAAUUUUGAGAAUUCAGUUGAACACUUUUGUUUUCAAAUAUUUAGUGUUGUGUUAAAGAAUUCCGGUGUUGCUUGAUUUGGGAUGGACCAGUCGACUAUUGUCACAAAAGCAUUUUAAGUGCCUUGUUAUGACUGAUAAUAGUCUAAUAUUUGUACUCCAUUUAGUCCAUGAAAGCCAAUAUGUAAAUUACUCCCUUCUGCAGCCUAUUAAGAUGCCUACUCAAAAGUUGUGUUUAAAGAGGUUGUCAAUUUUUGAAUUCCUACUUUCCUUGUCCUUGAAUUUGAAUGGGAAGUUAGAAAAAAUGAAAUGCCUAGGAAAAUGACACAGGAACCAAAUUUGAAAGAAAAUGUUGCUACAGUUAUAUCCAGUCUGGUCACCGGUGUAAAGUACACCAAAUAUUUUAAGAAUGAUCAAUAUAUGCUGCAACUUGUAUUUUUAAUUAAAUCAAGGUGCUCAUGAGCUAAGUCAAUUGUGAGGUAUGCUCUAUGAUGUGAACCGGGUUAAGGUAAAAAUAGAAUCAAAGGAAUCAAACCAUAACUCAUUUUCACACAUACAAAUUCAAAUGAUGACUGAACCUUUGGUUUGAGUGCCUGAAGAACAGAACAGAAGAUUGCAAAUCAAGUCCAGUCAGCACGAAAGAGCAUACGCUAGUUACAAUGUGGAUUAUAUAUGCUCAAGUAGCGUAUGACUGAUCUGCAUCUUUGUAGCGCAGAAUAAACAAUCCACAUUUUACUGUGUAGUAUGAAAAUGUGAAUUCCUAGCCAUUUAUAGUUUAUUAAAUUAUACGUGUAGCAGUGAUAUAAUAAUAGCAAUAUAGGCAAAAUUAAAACCAAUAAAGUUAUGGUUCAUUUGUUAACAAAUAUGCUCGUUUGGAAUAGCAAGCUACAAGCUUUCCUUUCUUGUAAAAGAUAAAAAAGUUCACUUAUAUAAUUCUUUCAUUCAUGCUUGAAACAAGUAAAAUAAUCCAACUAAGCAUAAACUAAUACAAGUAGAAGGAUAAGAAAAACCAGUAAAUGAUCAAACCAAACUGUAUUUUAUUCAUAUUCCAUGUAGUCUUAGAUACAUGGAAAUUUGAUCACAUGAACCCCAUUAUUCUAGUCCCUUUUUUUGACACAAGUAAAUUAACAAGAAACAACAUUGAGUGACACUACUUAAUUAUAACAAACAAAUUAACGGAAUAAGUGAUGACUAGUACUACUUAUUAGUUGUAGUAUGUUCCUGGGGUUUGGAACCAGUGCAUGUAUAUUUAAUUUCCUUUCUCAUAAAUCUGGACUUUGGUGUCAUAAGUAGCACCAGGCUUCCAAUUAGCAGGGAUUGGGUUAUUUGAAGGCAGCCAAUAUCCAUAGCCAACUUGAAACCUCAAGAGAAUUGCACCACUGGGUGGGUUAGCAUAGUCAAACACUGCCCCAUACACCCUGCGUAGUGGCUCCCAACGUUUCUGCCCUCUCUGCACAACAUUUCAAUAACCAAAUUCAGUUCAACUACACAGAGGGACAAGUAUUUUGAACGUAUGGAAGCACUCUCAAGUAAUACUAAACUAACUAAAUCAACCAUUAAAGCAAAUACACAUGCCUAUAUAUAGUAAAGUUGCAGUUUCUAUCUACUAAUUGAUUUAAAAAUCAUUGUACAUUAAGAAUUGAAUGUAUGAUAAAUUUAUCGGUUGAAUAGUCAUAUAUUGUCAAUCAAUCAUAAAUUCUGUUGUUAUUAGUAGAACUUUUAAGGUAGUUAUUAUAAAAAUUAACAAAUCUAUCAUAUAUGAUGAUUUGUAACUCAAUGAUAAUGUACAAUUAUUUUACAUUGUCAAUGCAUAACCUAUGUUUUCUACAUGCGUGUGGGAGCACGUGCAUGUAUAUAUACCUGCCACAUCUCAACAGCCGUGAUGUCGCGUACUCCAUUUACGUUGAGAAGCAGGACAGCUAAGUAGCCAGGGUUUUUGCUGCUCUUGUGGACACGGAGCUUAAUGUUAGAAGGGUAGUUACAGGGAACCCUUGUGAAUGCAAUAUCCACCACCCCGCGUUUGAACAGCU